UACGGGGGGGGCAAGCGUUGUUCGGAAUUACUGGGCGUAAAGCGCGCGUAGGCGGCCUCAUAAGUCCGUUGUGAAAGUCAAAGGCUCAACCUUUGAAAGCCGAUGGAUACUGUGAGGCUAGAGUCCGGAAGAGGCGAGUGGAAUUCCUGGUGUAGCGGUGGAAUGCGCAGAUAUCAGGAGGAACACCAAUAGCGAAGGCAGCUCGCUGGGACGGUACUGACGCUGAGACGCGAAAGCGUGGGGAGCGAACAGG
Molecule: ribosomal RNA, 253 nt
Filed under: uncultured bacterium
Lineage: Bacteria
Description: partial 16S ribosomal RNA
Rfam family: Bacterial small subunit ribosomal RNA
Source: RNAcentral